RNAcentral lists this ribosomal RNA (499 nucleotides) under uncultured bacterium. RNAcentral's name for it is "bacterial SSU rRNA". It matches the Rfam family "Bacterial small subunit ribosomal RNA", at positions 28 to 526 of the family's 1533-position model. The record is from RNAcentral.
GAUGAACGCUAGCGGCGGGCCUAAUACAUGCAAGUCGAACGGAUAUAUGUUUUUCGGAAUAUAUUAGUGGCGCACGGGUGAGUAACACGUACAUAACUUGCCCUCAAGCGGGGGAUAGCCUUGGGAAACUGAGAGUAAUACCCCAUAGAAUUAUUGGACGGCAUCGUUUGAUAAUUAAAACUACGGUGUUUGGGGAUAGAUGUGCGUCUGAUUAGCUAGUUGGUGAGGUAACUGCUCACCAAGGCGACGAUCAGUAGGGGGCGUGAGAGCGUGGCCCCCCACACGGGUACUGAGGCACGGACCCGACUCCUACGGGAGGCAGCAGUAAGGAAUAUUGGUCAAUGGAGGGAACUCUGAACCAGCCAUGCCGCGUGAAGGAUGACGGCCCUCUGGGUUGUAAACUUCUUUUGGAUGGGGCGAAAAAACGGGAUUUAUCCUGGACUGACGGUACCAUCAGAAUAAGCACCGGCUAACUCCGUGCCAGCAGCCGCGGUAAAGU